This 653-nucleotide ribosomal RNA is filed under the name Eisenoides carolinensis. Its description in RNAcentral is "partial 16S ribosomal RNA". Lineage: Eukaryota; Metazoa; Annelida; Clitellata; Crassiclitellata; Lumbricidae. The record is from RNAcentral.
GCUAUAAUAAAUCUUAUAAAUUAAAAUUAAUUAAAACAUUAUAAAAUAUAGUCAUUUCAACUAUCUAAACUAAAGUACUGAAAAGGAAUAAAAAAUAAUUUAAAGUAGCGUAAAUCGCGUACCUUGUGCAUUAUGGUUUUACAAGCUAACAAUUAAAUAUACAAUCCCGAAUUCUACGCGAGCUGCUUAAAUAUUGUUAAGAACUAACUACUAGCUGUAGCACCAACUUUAGAAAAUAUAUAAGCAGAGGCUACAUACCACACGCGCUAGAAUAUUGCUGGUUUUCAGUAAAAUUUAUUAAUUAAAACAUGUAACAACUUUACAAUGUAAGAUAUAAGAGGAUAAGCCCUUAAAUCUAAAGCUAUAAAACUAAUAAUAAACCACGUAGGCCUAAAAACAGCCACCCUCAGUACUUUAUCGUAUUUCUAAUACAAUAAUAUAAGUUAUUUGCUAAAAUAAACUGAAAUUUAGGACCUCCUCCCCAUCCUACAAUAAUCUGUAAAAAUAAGUAUUAGUUAAUAAAUUACCUAAUUAUAUAAUUCACAUUUACCCUAACAAAUAAAUACUUACAAAGGAACUCGGCAAAUAAUUAUUUCGACUGUUUAACAAAAACAUUGCUUCUUGAUACUAAAUAAGAAGUAACUCCUGCCCAG